UUAAAACAACCAAUUUGCUGGGUUAAAACAGCCAAUUCGCUGGGUUAAAACAACCCAAUUCGCUGGGUUAAAACAACCAAUUCGCUGGGUUAAAACAGCCAAUUCGCUGGGUUAAAACAACCCAAUUCGCUGGGUUAAAACAACCAAUUCGCUGGGUUAAAACAGCCAAUUCGCUGGGUUAAAACAACCCAAUUCGCUGGGUUUCGCUGGGUUAAAACAACCCAAUACUCUGGGUUAAAACAGCCAAUUCAUUGGGUUAAAACAACUUAAUUCCCUGUGUUAAAACAGCCAAUUCGUUGUGUGAAAACAACCUAAUUCCCUGGGUUAAAACAGCCAGUUUGCUGGGUUAAAACAACCUAAUUUGCUGGGUAAAACAGCCAAUUCGCUGGGUUAAAACAACCUAAUUCGCUGGGUUAAAACAACCCAAUUCGCCGGGUUAAAACAGCUAAUUCGCUGGGUUAAAACAACCCAAUUCACUGGGUUAAAACAACCUAAUUCGCUGGGUUAAAACAACCUAAUUCGCUGGGUUAAAACAACCCAAUUCGCUGGGUUAAAACAACCAAUACCAGUUGUUUUUAACCCAGCAUUUUUUAGAGUCUAUCUAUCUAUCUAUCUAUCUAUCUAUCUAUCUAUCUAUCUAUCUAUCUAUCUAUCCCAGGCGCUCUGACACAUAUCUUAUGAACCUCACUUAAUCUCCAGCACUAACUAACAGAUUUCUAACCAGUGUACUGAACCCCAGUGCUCUGUAGUUUUCUCCCCCCGAAGCGCGUGCGUGAUUGCGCGCGCACGAUUGGCAGCUCCACGUCGACAUUCUUCCAGCUGCUACACGGACACGGACGCGGCGUGAAAGCGCUUCAUCAACAGUUUGCAGGAGCGUCAUCUGCUCAACCACCGAGUGAAAUCCUCAGGGGCUUUUGACAGAGACGACCACCGUGUUGAUCCAGAGCGCUUCUUCUGCCAAUGCAGUUUAUUCACUGUCGACUGUCUCGUGCUGUGAGUUGCAGCAGAAGAGCUUCCCUGAGAAGAAGCAGAAUCGGCGAGCGGCGCUGCAGUGGCUUUCCAAGUAAAGUUCUGUGAUACACUCUGACUCUUAAUUGUUUGCAGUCAGUGCAUUACAGAACUUUGUUUUGGGAGUUUAAAGCUCAGGCCUGGAGGAAACAAUCAUUCCAUCUGGAUGAAGCUGUAACAGUCCCUCAAAAACAGCGUUAAACUCCACAUCCUGUGUGUCCCUCAACAACAUUAAACAAAUAAAUCACAUCAUUAUCAUCAUUACAA
Ctenopharyngodon idella (grass carp) is the source of this 1275-nucleotide long non-coding RNA. RefSeq lists it as uncharacterized. The transcript has 2 exons. The record is from RefSeq and is a predicted model, not a curated record. Lineage: Eukaryota; Metazoa; Chordata; Actinopteri; Cypriniformes; Xenocyprididae.